This 73-nucleotide transfer RNA is filed under the name Bos taurus (domestic cattle). It matches the Rfam family "tRNA". From Rfam's summary of the family: Transfer RNA (tRNA) molecules are approximately 80 nucleotides in length. Their secondary structure includes four short double-helical elements and three loops (D, anti-codon, and T loops). Lineage: Eukaryota; Metazoa; Chordata; Mammalia; Artiodactyla; Bovidae. The record is from Rfam by way of RNAcentral. RNAcentral also lists the same sequence under 1 other name.
CCUCUGGUGGUCCAGUGGUUAAAACUCUGCACUUCCACUGCAGGGGUCCUAGGUUCAAUCCCUGGCCAGGGAA